GGAAGGUGGGCAGGACGGUAAUGCGUUAGUUUCGAAAACUAAUGUCCGCAAGGACUAACAGGUUCAACUCCUGUACCUUCCG
This 82-nucleotide transfer RNA is filed under the name Candidatus Woesebacteria bacterium. RNAcentral describes it as "tRNA-Ser". It matches the Rfam family "tRNA". From Rfam's summary of the family: Transfer RNA (tRNA) molecules are approximately 80 nucleotides in length. Their secondary structure includes four short double-helical elements and three loops (D, anti-codon, and T loops). Further hydrogen bonds mediate the characteristic L-shaped molecular structure. tRNAs have two regions of fundamental functional importance: the anti-codon, which is responsible for specific mRNA codon recognition, and the 3' end, to which the tRNAs corresponding amino acid is attached (by aminoacyl-tRNA synthetases). tRNAs cope with the degeneracy of the genetic code in two manners: having more than one tRNA (with a specific anti-codon) for a particular amino acid; and 'wobble' base-pairing, i.e. permitting non-standard base-pairing at the 3rd anti-codon position. The record is from RNAcentral. Lineage: Bacteria; Candidatus Woeseibacteriota.